RNAcentral lists this ribosomal RNA (219 nucleotides) under Triticum aestivum (bread wheat). RNAcentral describes it as "partial small subunit ribosomal RNA". The record is from RNAcentral. Lineage: Eukaryota; Viridiplantae; Streptophyta; Magnoliopsida; Poales; Poaceae.
UUAAAUUUGGUAUUGAUUCUACCGGUGGCAACGGCAAAUGUUGAGAGAGCAUUUUCUGCCAUGAGUAUAGUCAAGAGCAAGUUGAGAAAUAAGAUGGGUGAUAGUCUUUUGGAUGAUUGCCUAGUUACAUACAUUGAGAGGGAUGCUUUCUCCGAGGUGAAUGAAGAUGACAUAAUUGAUACCUUCAUGGCAAUGCAAAAGCAUAGGCCAGAAACAUAG